This 431-nucleotide ribosomal RNA is filed under the name uncultured bacterium. RNAcentral's name for it is "bacterial SSU rRNA". It matches the Rfam family "Bacterial small subunit ribosomal RNA", at positions 30 to 506 of the family's 1533-position model. The record is from RNAcentral.
UUGAACGCUGGCGGAAUGCUUUACACAUGCAAGUCGAGCGCCGUAGCAAUACGGAGCGGCAGACGGGAGAGUAACACGUGGGAACGUACCCUUCAGUACGGAACAACCAAGGGAAACUUUGGCUAAUACCGUAUACGUCCGUAAGGAGAAAGAUUUAUCGCUGAAGGAUCGGCCCGCGUCUGAUUAGCUAGUUGGUGAGGUAACGGCUCACCAAGGCGACGAUCAGUAGCUGGCCUGAGAGGAUGAUCAGCCUCACUGGGACUGAGACACGGCCCAGACUCCUACGGGAGGCAGCAGUGGGGAAUAUUGGACAAUGGGCGCAAGCCUGAUCCAGCCAUGCCGCGUGGGUGAUGAAGGCCCUAGGGUUGUAAAGCCCUUUCGGCGGGGAAGAUAAUGACGGUACCCGCAGAAGAAGCCCCGGCUAACUUCGU